Small nucleolar RNA from Sorex fumeus (smoky shrew), 128 nucleotides. The record is from RefSeq and is a predicted model, not a curated record. NCBI's taxonomy places the organism in Eukaryota, Metazoa, Chordata, Mammalia, Eulipotyphla, Soricidae.
GUGCACGCUUCAUUGUCUUUUUUCUUUAUGUCAAGAAAGAAGAUAUUCCUGAUGUGCUAAACUAGCCUUUGGAGGUAAAUUAGCAGCAUGAUUUACUAGCCAUUGCUGUCAGUCAUCUUCAGACUGAC